GUCAGUCCCGGCGGCUUAUGAUUGCCGGGACCCUGGGCUAAUAGCGCACUGCCCCGAUCGUUGUUGAUCAAAGUUGAUCGCCGCGUGUAAAACAAAAGUAAAAGCUUCCCGGCAGCUCAGUUGGUCUGAUCGGGUCUAAAAUCGCGAUGUCCCGAUCAGCUAGGACUCGAGCGGAGGUCCCCUUACCUUGCUCCGUCACGUCCGAUCGGCAUUUGAUUGCUCCAUGCCUGAGCUACAGGCUUGAGCAAUCAACCCCCUAUAAUGCUGAUCCAUGCAAAGCUAUGGCUUUGCAGGGAUCAGUGUAAAAGAUCAGUGUGUGCAGUGUUAUAGGUCCCUAUGGGAGCUAUAACAUUGCAAAAAAAAAAGUGAAAAAAAAGUGAAAAAAAGGUCAUUUAACCCCUUCCCUAAUAAAAGUUUGAAUCACCCCCUUUUCCCAUAAAAAAAAAACUGCAUAAAUAAAAAUAAACAUAUGUAGUAUCACCGAGUGCGGGAAUGUCCGAACUAUAAAAAUAUAUUGUUAAUUAAUUAAUUAAUUAAUCCAUUAAACCGCACGGUCAAUGGCGUACGCGCAAAAAAAUUCCAAAGUCCAAAAUAGCCUAUUUUUGGUCACUUUUUAUAUCAUGAAAAAAUUUAUAAAAAACGAUCAAAAAUUCUGAUCAAUAAAAAAAUGGUACCGAUAAAAACGUCAGAUCACAGCACAAAAAAUUAGCCCUCGUACCAGCCCGUACACAGAAAAAUAAAAAAAAGUUAUAGGGGUCAGAAGAUGAGAAUUUUUAACGUAUAAAUUUUCCUGCAUGUAGUUAUGAUUUUUUCCAGAAGUACGACAAAAUCAAACCUAUAUAAGUAGGUUAUCAUUUUAACCAUAUUGACCUACAGAAUAAAGAUAAGGUGUCAUUUUUACCGAAAAAUGCACUGCGUAGAAACGGAAGCCCCCAAAAGUUACAAAAUGAAAUUUUUUGUUCAAUUUUGUCGCACAAUGAUUUUUUUUUUCCGUCUCGUCAUGGAUGUUUUGGUAAAAUGACUAAUGUCACUGGAAAUUAUAAUUGGUGGCACAAAAAAUAAGCCAUCAUUUGGAAUUUUAUGUGCAAAAUUGAAAGCGUUAUGAUUUUUAGAAGGUGAUGAGGAAAAAAUGAAAAUGCAAAAACAGAAAAACGUGAGUCCUUAAGGGGUUAAGAUUACUCCACUUCAUCUCCCAUAACUGCUACCCCAAAACAUGAGACUCUGUCCCAUCCUUCAAACUUUAAAAGACAACCAGAAAACCUCUCUCUUUAGAAAACCAGUCUUUGCUGUGAAUCUGUAUAAGCAGCUUGCAACCCUCAUUUACUGUCUAUUUCCCUUGUAGCAUCUAAGAAUUAGUGGGUAGGGUAUCCAAUUUUUCUGGGCAGAGCCCUCUUUUUCUUUUGUGCUAAUCUGUCACUCAGUAAACAUAUACCACCAAUUGUAUUUACUGCUCAACUGAUCCAAUCUUAGAAGUUGGUCGACACCAGUAGGGGAGAAUAGGAAUUAGUAUUUGGGAGUUUUGGGAGAUUUUAGAUUAACUGAAGAAUAACUUCUCUCCAUUUGAUAGCCUAUGUCAUUUGUAACAUUUUUGGAUAUCACAUUGUUUACCUUAACAUGACACCUCACCCAAGAAAGUAGCCCUAUAGUUUUGGCCACUAAGUGUUUAACUUCCCUGCAAUCUGCUAUAUACUGCCUGUCAUUAGUAGUGUUGAGCAGCAUAGGCCAUAUUCGAAUUUGCGAUAUUUCGCGAAUAUAUGGACGAAUAUUCGUCAUAUAUUCGCUAAAUUCGCAUAUUCGUAAUAUUCACGGUUUAUUUUCGCAUAUGCGAAAAUUGAAAUAUACAAAAAUUAGCAUAUGCGAAAAAUUAGCAUAGGCGAAAAUUUGCAUAGGCGAAAAUUUGCAUAGGCGACAAGUUGCACGCCAGUCUCACACAGUAGUAUUAGAGCCUUCUUUACACCACACAAGCUGGAAGAAGAGAGGGAUGAUCACUGUGAUGUGUACUGUGAAAAAAAAUAAAUUAUAAUAUUCGUAAUUACAAAUAUAUAGUGCUGUAUUCGCGAAUAUUCGCGAAUUCGCGAAUAUGCAAUAUUCGUGAAUAAAAUUCGCAUUGAGAAUAUUCGGGAGCAACACUAGUGAUCUCCCCCAUUGAGCCUGCCAGAGCCGCAGUGAUCUGUGUAAGAAACCUAUGGGCCCAGGCUGUUAGGGUCACCAAAUGAUAUUACAAAUACUGAGUGUCUGGUUAGGAGAAACAAAUAUAAUGUACCCACAGGGAGUGAGCCAUUUUUAUAAAAAAUUGACAAAUAUUCCCUAAGAUAAGUCAUGCAGAAUAUGUUAAAAAGCUUUUUGGAUUUUCAGCCAAUCAGAAAGCAGCACUACUCAAAUAGAACUCCCGUGAGGUCACACAUGUGAUGUCAUAACCAUUGUCAUUGGUGAGGGGCCUAAACUGUAGGAACCUAGGAAUACACAUUCAUACCCGCCUGUGACUGAUGCACACCUUCCAGGCUGUGGGGCAGCACAUACACGGACACAUUGGCCCAAAUUCUAGAGGUAACCUCCUUUAGUAUGCCCAGAGGAAGGGCAGUACAGUAGCCAUGGAUUCCCUACAGGUUUCCUCCCCUCUGGAGGUUUUUCCUGUCCUGAGUUAGUUACUGUCCGCUCUUUGUGAGUGAUGGAGGUUACAUAAAAUCCCUACACAAACAUUUUACUAAAUAAUAAAUAAAGUUCCCCUUUGUUUAAACUGUU
This is a long non-coding RNA of Hyla sarda, 2742 nucleotides long. RefSeq lists it as uncharacterized. The transcript is spliced from 2 exons. NCBI's taxonomy places the organism in Eukaryota, Metazoa, Chordata, Amphibia, Anura, Hylidae. The record is from RefSeq and is a predicted model, not a curated record.